Molecule: unclassified non-coding RNA, 353 nt
Filed under: soil metagenome
Description: partial contains 5.8S ribosomal RNA, internal transcribed spacer 2, and large subunit ribosomal RNA
Rfam family: 5.8S ribosomal RNA (bases 1-120)
Source: RNAcentral
GAUGAAGAACGCAGCGAAAUGCGAUAAGUAAUGUGAAUUGCAGAAUUCAGUGAAUCAUCAAAUCUUUGAACGCACAUUGCGCCCGCCAGUAUUCUGGCGGGCAUGCCUGUUCGAGCGUCAUUACAACCCUCAGGCCCCCGGGCCUGGCGUUGGGGAUCGGCGAGGCGCCCCCCGCGGGCACGCGCCGUCCCCCAAAUACAGUGGCGGUCCCGCCGCAGCUUCCAUUGCGUAGUAGCUAACACCUCGCAACUGGAGAGCGGCGCGGCCAUGCCGUAAAACACCCAACUUCUGAAUGUUGACCUCGAAUCAGGUAGGAAUACCCGCUGAACUUAAGCAUAUCAAUAAGCGGAGGA